RNAcentral lists this ribosomal RNA (253 nucleotides) under uncultured bacterium. Its description in RNAcentral is "partial 16S ribosomal RNA". It matches the Rfam family "Bacterial small subunit ribosomal RNA", at positions 524 to 776 of the family's 1533-position model. The record is from RNAcentral.
UACGAAGGGGGCUAGCGUUGCUCGGAAUCACUGGGCGUAAAGCGCACGUAGGCGGAUCGUUAAGUCAGGGGUGAAAUCCUGGAGCUCAACUCCAGAACUGCCUUUGAUACUGGCGACCUUGAGUUCGGGAGAGGUGAGUGGAACUGCGAGUGUAGAGGUGAAAUUCGUAGAUAUUCGCAAGAACACCAGUGGCGAAGGCGGCUCACUGGCCCGAUACUGACGCUGAGACGCGAAAGCGUGGGGAGCGAACAGG